AGAGUUUGAUCAUGGCUCAGAAUCAACGCUGGCGGCGUGCCUAACACAUGCAAGUCGAACGCGAAAGCCCUUUCGGGGGUAAGUAGAGUGGCGUCCGGGUGAGUAACACGUGGGUAAUCUGCCUUCGGGUGGGGAAUAACUCAGGGAAACUUGAGCUAAUACCGCAUAAUGCAGCGGCACCUAAUGGUGAUUAGUUGUUAAAGCGGGGGAUCGCAAGACCUCGCGCCUGAAGAGGAGCCUGCGGCAGAUUAGCUAGUUGGUGAGGUAAUGGCUCACCAAGGCUGCGAUCUGUAGCUGGUCUGAGAGGACGGCCAGCCACACUGGCACUGACACACGGGCCAGACUCCUACGGGAGGCAGCAGUGGGGAAUUUUGGGCAAUGGGCGAAAGCCUGACCCAGCAACGCCGCGUGAGGGAGGAAAUCCUUCGGGAUGUAAACCUCACAAGCAAGGGAAGAGAGCUACGGGCUGAAUAAUCCCGUAGUGCGACGGUACCUUGCGUAAGCCACGGCUAACUACGUGCCAGCAGCCGCGGUAAUAC
Molecule: ribosomal RNA, 539 nt
Filed under: uncultured bacterium
Lineage: Bacteria
Description: bacterial SSU rRNA
Rfam family: Bacterial small subunit ribosomal RNA
Source: RNAcentral